AACUUUUUGAGGGACAUUACUUCUGUCAGGCACAAAGGGAGGACUUCUUUCAGCGAGCAAAGCCUUACAAAGAUCAUCCAACAAUUCUUAGGCUACCAGGAAAAGUUCUACUUCAAUCCAGGUGACACUGGAUUCUGUAGCAGUAUAUUUACACACAAGGGGUCGCUCAGGUGACACUGGAUUCUGAAGCAGUAUAUUUACAUUCUGUAAUCUGAACGUUGCAUAGCUUGGUCUACAAUGACAAGGAAAUUGAGUGAUUUUACAAGUCCAAAUUCUGCAACCCCAAGUUUUGUUUUUUUGUUUUUUUUCCUACAAUUGCAGAUAGGUUUCUCUGUCUUGAUUGUAAAUGCUCACUGAUGAAUAAGUGGCUAUACUCAUAUAUUUUUGUAAGGAAA
Molecule: long non-coding RNA, 395 nt
Organism: Prunus dulcis (almond)
Lineage: Eukaryota; Viridiplantae; Streptophyta; Magnoliopsida; Rosales; Rosaceae
Exons: 2
Source: RefSeq, a predicted model, not a curated record